Molecule: ribosomal RNA, 251 nt
Filed under: uncultured prokaryote
Description: partial 16S rRNA
Rfam family: Bacterial small subunit ribosomal RNA
Source: RNAcentral
ACGGAGGGUGCAAGCGUUGUUCGGAAUCACUGGGCGUAAAGGGCGCGCAGGCGGUUUUUUCCUUCAGACGUGAAAGCCCACGGCUUAACCGUGGAAGUGCAUUUGAAACUGCCAGACUUGAGUACCAGAGGGGAAAGUGGAAUUCCCGGUGUAGAGGUGAAAUUCGUAGAUAUCGGGAGGAAUACCGGUGGCGAAGGCGACUUUCUGGCUGGAUACUGACGCUGAGGCGCGAAAGCGUGGGGAGCAAAAAG